Acanthosepion pharaonis is the source of this 112-nucleotide non-coding RNA. The record is from the annotation of a GenBank genome assembly. NCBI's taxonomy places the organism in Eukaryota, Metazoa, Mollusca, Cephalopoda, Sepiida, Sepiidae.
UACGACAAUACAGCGUUGAAACAGCGCUUCCCGUACGAUCGUCGAAUUUAAGCAACGUCGAACUUGGUUAGUACCUCCAUGGGUGACCGCUUAAAAAUACCAGGUGCUGUAA